GACGAACGCUGGCGGCGUGCCUAAUACAUGCAAGUCGAACGCAGUGGGGACGGGUGAGUAACACGUGGGUAACCUCCCAUCAGAGGGGAUAACACUUGGAAACAGGCGCGAAACCGAACCUGCAUGAUGGAACCGCGGUGCAUUAGCUAGUUGGUGAGGUAACGGCUAACCAAGGCCACGAUGCAUAGGCGACCUGAGAGGGUGAUAGGCCACACUGGGACUGAGACACGGCCCAUACUCCUACGGGAGGCAGCAGUGGGGAAUCUUCGGCAAUGGACGAAAGUCUGACCGAGCCACGCCGCGUGAGUGAAGAAGGUUUUCGGAUCGUAAAACUCUGUUGUUAGAGAAGCGGUAUCUAACCAGAAAGCCACGGCUAACUACGUGCCAGCAGCCGCGGUAAUAC
This 403-nucleotide ribosomal RNA is filed under the name uncultured bacterium. RNAcentral's name for it is "partial 16S ribosomal RNA". It matches the Rfam family "Bacterial small subunit ribosomal RNA", at positions 28 to 526 of the family's 1533-position model. The record is from RNAcentral.